This 364-nucleotide transfer-messenger RNA is filed under the name Alphaproteobacteria bacterium. It matches the Rfam family "Alphaproteobacteria transfer-messenger RNA". Rfam says of the family: Bacterial tmRNA, also known as 10Sa RNA or SsrA, is named for its dual tRNA and mRNA-like properties. Its role is to liberate the mRNA from a stalled ribosome. The record is from RNAcentral. Lineage: Bacteria; Pseudomonadati; Pseudomonadota; Alphaproteobacteria.
CGCCUUUCCCUCCGCCCCCCAAGGGCCUAUAUGACGAGGGUCCGGCUUGCCGGACUAUGGGGAUAAAGGCGCGUGCAAUAAGCGGACUGGACCCGGGUGCGAUUCCCGGCGGCUCCACCAAUUCCUCCCGUGUUAUCGACGGGAUGUGCGGGGCCGAUCAGCAUCGACAGACGUCUAAAGACGUUAGCUUUCUCUCGGCGUGGCUCACCGUACCGGGCCAUAAACUAACUGCGAACGAUAACUUCGCUCAAGAGUACGCCAUCGCCGCGUGAUGCGGCGCUGACGCGCUCGACUCUUAAAGUCCUGACGUCUUAGCCGCGUCAGGCGGGGCCCGGGAGGCGCCUGGCAACAGAAGCCUCCCACC